This 253-nucleotide ribosomal RNA is filed under the name uncultured bacterium. RNAcentral describes it as "partial 16S ribosomal RNA". It matches the Rfam family "Bacterial small subunit ribosomal RNA", at positions 524 to 776 of the family's 1533-position model. The record is from RNAcentral.
UACGUAGGGCGCAAGCGUUGUCCGGAAUUAUUGGGCGUAAAGAGCUCGUAGGCGGUUUGUCGCGUCUGCUGUGAAAACCUAAGGCUCAACCUUGGGCUUGCAGUGGGUACGGGCAGACUAGAGUGCGGUAGGGGUGACUGGAAUUCCUGGUGUAGCGGUGAAAUGCGCAGAUAUCGGGAAGAACACCCAUGGCGAAGGCAGCUCUCUGGGACGGUACUGACGCUGAGACGCGAAAGCGUGGGGAGCGAACAGG